GCUUAACACAUGCAAGUCGAACGAUGAUGCCAGCUUGCUGGUGGAUUAGUGGCGAACGGGUGAGUAACACGUGAGUAACCUGCCCUUGACUCUGGGAUAAGCCUGGGAAACUGGGUCUAAUACCGGAUAUGACCUUCCAUCGCAUGGUGGUUGGUGGAAAGCUUUUGUGGUUUUGGAUGGACUCGCGGCCUAUCAGCUUGUUGGUGGGGUAAUGGCCUACCAAGGCGACGACGGGUAGCCGGCCUGAGAGGGUGACCGGCCACACUGGGACUGAGACACGGCCCAGACUCCUACGGGAGGCAGCAGUGGGGAAUAUUGCACAAUGGGCGAAAGCCUGAUGCAGCGACGCCGCGUGAGGGAUGACGGCCUUCGGGUUGUAAACCUCUUUCAGUAGGGAAGAAGCGUAAGUGACGGUACCUGCAGAAGAAGCGCCGGCUAACUACGUGCCAGCAGCCGCGGUAAUACGUAGGGCGCAAGCGUUAUCCGGAAUUAUUGGGCGUAAAGAGCUCGUAGGCGGUUUGUCGCGUCUGCCGUGAAAGUCCGGGGCUCAACUCCGGAUCUGCGGUGGGUACGGGCAGACUAGAGUGAUGUAGGGGAGACUGGAAUUCCUGGUGUAGCGGUGAAAUGCGCAG
This 632-nucleotide ribosomal RNA is filed under the name actinobacterium TH-G34. RNAcentral's name for it is "bacterial SSU rRNA". It matches the Rfam family "Bacterial small subunit ribosomal RNA", at positions 46 to 693 of the family's 1533-position model. The record is from RNAcentral. Lineage: Bacteria; Bacillati; Actinomycetota; Actinomycetes.